Ictalurus punctatus (channel catfish) is the source of this 1299-nucleotide long non-coding RNA. RefSeq lists it as uncharacterized. The record is from RefSeq and is a predicted model, not a curated record. Lineage: Eukaryota; Metazoa; Chordata; Actinopteri; Siluriformes; Ictaluridae. The transcript has 2 exons.
UUGACGUGAACUUUAACUGAAGCUCUUGACCUGCAUCCGCAUGAUUUUUUGCACUGCGUUGCUGCCACAUGAUUGGCUGAUUAGAUAACUGCAUGAACGUGCAGGUGUUCUUAUUAAAGUGGAUGUUGUGUGUAUAACUAGCCAGUCAUGUCUAAAUUACGUCCGCUAAGAUUCACCUUCUUCGGUGCUAUAAUACAUAGACUAUUACAAUCCGCUUAUUACUACGAUUGUUUAUUAAACUGUUUUUCCCUCAAUGAAGAUAGUGGAAUACUAAUUCUGUUCAUUCUUGUACAUUAGAUAAUAUGACUGGUGUGGGUGGGUGGGAAGAUUGAUUAAGUUGUCACUAAGGGUCCCUAAAUGUCACGUUAAAGGUGCAUUAAUCAAUUGUUUUUAUUCCUUACUUAUACAAAUGACAUGGAAGAUACGUAGAACAGGAUAAUAAAUAAAUGAUUUUUUUUUUAAAAUUGAUUAAGUUACAACCUUAGCAAAAGUGUAUAAAGGAGGAAAAAAAACAAAACAAAAAAACAAAAGAGACUUCUGGUCCGUAAUGCUUGUUUGUGUUUGGUUGCGCCUCCUGACAGUCAUUUUAUAGGCACUCUACGGGCCACAUAGAUCCUGAGGAUCCCACCUAGCUUUGUGAACAUGGGCAGGAAUCAUUCAAAUGUCGAGCCCACGUAACUGCUAUAGACAUAAUCUUGGGGUUAAAAAAAACCCCAACAGAAGAAAACAAAAAAACCUCACCUAAUGCAUCUAAGUUAAAGCGCACCCAUCAUGGUUUUGAAAUAGGGCUGGACGAUUAAUCGAAAAGUAACCGAAACUGAAAUUCAGAACCUCUAACGACGUAAUUUCCCUUUGUUGAUUAUUUUAAAAAAAUUUUUUUUAUUCCUGUUACUACUUUCCCUUUAAGAACAUACUACUGCGUGUGUAGUCACGCGACUCCGCCCCGUCCGGUCAGCGGCACGGAAGCAACAUGGAGAUGGACUCAAACACCGAGAUAACUGAGCAAGAGGAACAGCUUGUACCAAAGAAAAACACAGUGUCCCUCAUUUGGACGCAUUUUGGCUUCAGUAAAGAAGACACCGAACAAAAUUUCGUCAAAUGCAAACAUUGCAGAAAAACCAUUUCAGCGACCAAAGUUGAAAGACGUGUUCAGACAACACGCCGAUGGAUUUGAUCUAAAACGGAUCAUAAGGUUUUGCACAAACUUGCGGAGCUCGAUUGCACGGUCAUUAAACCGAAAAAUGGGACGGACCAAAUCCUAAGAAACUCUGAAAUGCAUGUAAAUAAAUUUUCACUCGA